GGUUAACGCUGGCGGCGUGCCUAACACAUGCAAGUCGAACGGUUCUAAGCGCGAGCUUAGGAUAGUGGCGAACGGGGUGAGUAAAAGGUAGGAAUCUACCCCUUGGACGGAGAUAGCUACUGGAAACGGUAGGUAAACUUCGAUAAGCCCGAGAGGGGAAAGUGGUGAGACAGCCGAGGGAUGAGCCUACUCUCCAUCAGGUAGUUGGUGAGAUAAAAGCUUACCAAGCCGAUGACGGAUAACCGGUGUGAGAGCAUGAACGGUCACAAGGGCACUGAGAGACGGGCCCUACUCCUACGGGAGGCAGCAGUGGGGAAUCUUGGACAAUGGGCGAAAGCCUGAUCCAGCGACGCCGCGUGGAGGAAGAAGUCCUUCGGGAUGUAAACUUCUGAACUAGCCGAAUAAAAGGCCUGUGGACACACAGGAGAAGAAAGUAGGCUAGGAAAAGUCCCGGCUAACUACGUG
RNAcentral lists this ribosomal RNA (465 nucleotides) under uncultured bacterium. RNAcentral's name for it is "bacterial SSU rRNA". It matches the Rfam family "Bacterial small subunit ribosomal RNA", at positions 28 to 507 of the family's 1533-position model. The record is from RNAcentral.